This 982-nucleotide ribosomal RNA is filed under the name Nocardiopsis sp. AJ1. RNAcentral describes it as "bacterial SSU rRNA". It matches the Rfam family "Bacterial small subunit ribosomal RNA", at positions 69 to 1048 of the family's 1533-position model. The record is from RNAcentral. Lineage: Bacteria; Bacillati; Actinomycetota; Actinomycetes; Streptosporangiales; Nocardiopsidaceae.
UAAGGCCCCUUCGGGGGGGGUACACGAGGCGGCGAACGGGUGAGUAAACGAAGAAGCAACCUGCCCCUGACUCCGGGAUAAGCGGUGGAAACGCCGUCUAAUACCGGAUACGACCUCCCGGCUCAUGCCGGGUGGUGGAAAGUUUUUUCGGUUGGGGAUGGGCUCGCGGCCUAUCAGCUUGUUGGUGGGGUAAAGGCCUACCAAGGCGAUUACGGGUAGCCGGCCUGAGAGGGCGACCGGCCACACUGGGACUGAGACACGGCCCAGACUCCUGCGGGAGGCAGCAGUGGGGAAUCUUGCGCAAUGGGCGAAAGCCUGACGCAGCGACGCCGCGUGGGGGAUGACGGCCUUCGGGUUGUAAACUCCUUUUACCACUCACGCAGGCUCCCGGUUUUCCGGGGGUUGACGGUAGGUGGGGAAUAAGGACCGGCUAACUACGUGCCAGCAGCCGCGGUAAUACGUAGGGUCCGAGCGUUGUCCGGAAUUAUUGGGCGUAAAGAGCUCGUAGGCGGCGUGUCGCGUCUGCUGUGAAAGACCGGGGCUUAACUCCGGUUUUGCAGUGGAUACGGGCAUGCUAGAGGUAGGUAGGGGAGACUGGAAUUCCUGGUGUAGCGGUGGAAUGCGCAGAUAUCAGGAGGAACACCGGUGGCGAAGGCGGGUCUCUGGGCCUUACCUGACGCUGAGGAGCGAAAGCAUGGGGAGCGAACAGGAUUAGAUACCCUGGUAGUCCAUGCCGUAAACGAUGGGCGCUAGGUGUGGGGACUUUCCACGGUUUCCGCGCCGUAGCUAACGCAUUAAGCGCCCCGCCUGGGGAGUACGGCCGCAAGGCUAAAACUCAAAGGAAUUGACGGGGGCCCGCACAAGCGGCGGAGCAUGUUGCUUAAUUAGACGCAACGCGAAGAACCUUACCAAGGUUUGACAUCCCCCGUGUACCUGCAGAGAUGUGGGGUCAUUUAGUUGGCGGGUGACAGGUGGUGCAUGG